This 253-nucleotide ribosomal RNA is filed under the name uncultured bacterium. RNAcentral's name for it is "partial 16S ribosomal RNA". It matches the Rfam family "Bacterial small subunit ribosomal RNA", at positions 524 to 776 of the family's 1533-position model. The record is from RNAcentral.
UACGUAGGGGGCGAGCGUUGUCCGGAUUCAUUGGGCGUAAAGAGCUCGUAGGUGGCCAACUAAGUCAGACGUGAAAUCCCUCAGCUUAACUGGGGAACUGCGUCUGAUACUGGUUGGCUUGAGUGCAGGAGAGGAAUGCGGAAUUCCAGGUGUAGCGGUGAAAUGCGUAGAUAUCUGGAGGAACACCGGUGGCGAAGGCGGCAUUCUGGACUGCAACUGACACUGAUGAACGAAAGCCAGGGGAGCAAACGGG